AUGACGAUGCUCGAUGAGAGUAGGGAAGCUCGGGUCGAUAACAGGUCUGUGAUGCCCGUAGAUGUCCCGGGCGCCACGCGCACUACAGUGGGAGAGGGUUACGUGAAACGGAGCUCUCUUGCGGUUGGGAUUGACGUUUGUAAAUAUGUCAUGAACGCGGAAUUCCUAGUAGCGUGCCGUCACUAACGGCAGGCGAAUGAGUCCCUGUUCUUUGUACACACCGCCCGUCGUUAUCUAAGAUGGAUGUGCGGAUGAAGUUGGCUAGGCCAAAAGAAUCCGUGCCACUAGAUUGGAUACAAGUCGUAACAAGGUUGCAGUAGGUGAACCUGCCGCAGGAUCAAUAA
This 344-nucleotide ribosomal RNA is filed under the name Conglomerata obtusa. Its description in RNAcentral is "SSU rRNA". It matches the Rfam family "Microsporidia small subunit ribosomal RNA", at positions 973 to 1311 of the family's 1311-position model. Lineage: Eukaryota; Fungi; Microsporidia. The record is from RNAcentral.